Phyllopteryx taeniolatus (common seadragon) is the source of this 2239-nucleotide long non-coding RNA. RefSeq lists it as uncharacterized. NCBI's taxonomy places the organism in Eukaryota, Metazoa, Chordata, Actinopteri, Syngnathiformes, Syngnathidae. The transcript is spliced from 9 exons. The record is from RefSeq and is a predicted model, not a curated record.
GGGAAAUAGACGUCGCUGUCCGGGGGCGCCACCGACGCCGCGCUGUCUGCCCCGCUAGAGUCGACCGUCUUCAGCCUCCGGAACGUCAUGGCGCUGGCAAAAAAAAAAGUUUGCUGCCAAGUCUGCCGCGACAAACGUGGAGCCUCACGGCGCUCUUCAGGCCCGUGUAAAUUUGGCCCAUCUCCAUGGCACCCUCCAAGCCGACCACCUCCAGUCUACGGUCGCUCAAGUCUGGAGACAGACACAGGAUAAAAAUUGCACGUGUCAAGGAUUUCUGGGUCCACGAUCACGUCAAGCUCGUCCUGACCAGUCAGCCCCUUAACGUCCGCCUUCUUGGUCUCACCCCAGAGAUUGGACCCGCCGUGCAUGCUGGGAAUGUUUAGGACAGCAAUACCCUCCAGAGACAGGCUGCUGAGAUCCAGAGGAGUGCCGCAGCACUGGGGAUGGAACACAAAAUGAAGAAAAGUGUUGUUGUUGUUGUUGUGUUAUUGCGGUCUCACCUCUAUCGUUAGACUUUCGUUCAGUUUCUUGCAGGAAGCCGAGAUAGUCUCUGAGGUGGCAAAUUCAAAAUACCACAGCUUGUUCUUCAUCCUACACGCAAGAAAAUCACACUUGAGCGGUGUGCGAUGGAGGCGUCCUGUCGGCGUAACGAACACUCGUCAGCGAGCCACAAAGAGACACGGACAUCACUGUGAAGACUCACCACUCCGAUGGAGAAGUAAUUGUUGAUGAUUUCAUAUGGCACAGGGUCGCCCUUCUCUUCACCCUCCUCCGCUAUGACCUGCACACUCCAGCGGUCCAUCAGAACCUGAGAGCUCCCCUCGAUGUCCUUUAGGAUCCUAUUCAGGUCCUCACCGUCGUAUCCUGAGGGGGUGAAAAACGGUGAAGUGUGCACAGGGCUGCUGUUUCAGCACCUUGAGCCCAGCUCGUGUGUGUUUGCAGGAUUGACGUGUUGGAGUCUAACACCUGCACCUUGUCAUCCUAAUUACACCUGACUGCUCUUAAGUUGCUGUGGGACUCCAACUCGUCGCCAGACUAUCAACGCUCUACGUCGAGUUCAUAGCCUAGCCACCUUGCCUAUCUUUUUGCUUCCUGAAGACGUAGUGAGUUACCUCUACCUAAUUCUUGUUCUUUGUCCCCAGUCUGCCAUCUGCCCUUGCUCCCUGCAAACCAGUGCUAACCUCUUGCGACCCACCGACAACACGGACUCCUACCCUGCCAGACCGGUCCUCGUUGGAACCCUGCCAAUCCCGGAUUUAGUUAUCUGAGUUCCUUUGUUCGCUUCCAAGCUGCCGUAAACCCUUAUUCACAAACUUACCUCCCUGUCCUCUCUGCAUCGGGUUCCAACUUGCAACCUGAAUCCUGACAGCAAUAGUCUGGCCUGUCAUGGACCCAGCGGAGACGGAUCCCCUUCGCCAAACAGUUACCGGACAGAGCAUGCUUUUGAAGCAACACGACCAAGCCCUCAUCCUGCUGAUUCAAAAGAGGCGGGCCACUACAUCGCAAACUGUCCCACACAUCCAUCAAACUGGCAGACUCUCCAAUAAAGGAGGAGUUGCCCUAGUAGACUGGAGCUGACGAGAAUAUCAUUGACCACCGCUUAGUUAAACAGAUGGGAAUUCAUCUACAUGCUUUGAUCACCCAUAUCCAGCAAGAGACUGCUCCCGUUUCCCUCAAGCUAUCAGGCUCCAUAACCCCAUCAUCGACUGGACCGUCCGUGCCCAAGAUCACCUCAUGGAGCAAUUUCUGUCAUGAGAACUGCUUGGGAUCUGCUGCGGUGCCCCUAAGUGGCCAAAGUCGGAGUAAAUCCCCUGACCUAUCAGGUGUCCCCUCAAUUUACCAUGACCUAGCUCCAGUGUUCAGCAAACACCAUGCCACCUCUCUACCCCCACACAGGCCUUACGAUUGCCCUAUUGAACUACAGCCCGGUGCACCGCUACCUAGCAGCCGUCUUUUUAACAUCUCUCGUCCAGAGCGGGAGGCCAUGGAGACCUACAUCAGCAAGUCAUUGGCCGCAGUUUUCACCAAGUUGAAUCUGCGCCAAGCCUACCACCUUGUCCGCAUUCCAGAGGGAGACGACUGGAAGACAGCAUUUAACACCCAUAGAGGGGACUACAAGUACCUUGCAAUGCCUUUCGGCCUGACCAAUGCAUCUGCUGUCUUCCAGGCACUAAUCAAUGACGUCCUACGUGACAUGAUCAGAAAUGUGUUUUUGUGUACCUGGAUGACAUCCUGGUUU